CAAUAGCGUAUAUUAAAGUUGUUGCAGUUAAAAAGCUCGUAGUUGGAUUUCGGGGCAGCCUGGCUGGUCCGCCGCAAGGCGGGUACUGGUCAGCCGCCCUUCCUCUCGAAAGCCCCGACUGCUCUUCGUUGCAGUGGUCGGGUAGUUCGGGACGUUUACUUUGAAAAAAUUAGAGUGUUCAAGGCAGGCCUACGCCUGAAUACAUUAGCAUGGAAUAAUGGAAGAGGACCUCGGUCCUAUUUUGUUGGUUUCCAGGGCCGAAGUAAUGAUUAAGAGGGACAGUUGGGGGCAUUCGUAUUUAAUUGUCAGAGGUGAAAUUCUCGGAUUUAUGAAAGACGAACAACUGCGAAAGCAUUUGCCAAGGAUGUUUUCAUUAA
RNAcentral lists this ribosomal RNA (377 nucleotides) under uncultured eukaryote. RNAcentral's name for it is "partial 18S ribosomal RNA". It matches the Rfam family "Eukaryotic small subunit ribosomal RNA", at positions 592 to 976 of the family's 1831-position model. The record is from RNAcentral.